RNAcentral lists this ribosomal RNA (324 nucleotides) under Triticum aestivum (bread wheat). Its description in RNAcentral is "partial small subunit ribosomal RNA". The record is from RNAcentral. Lineage: Eukaryota; Viridiplantae; Streptophyta; Magnoliopsida; Poales; Poaceae.
AUGCAACGUGCUAAUAAUGCCGAAUUGAUAGACUACCUGAAGCCACAUAUAAACAAUCAAGUAUUGUUCUCUCAAAAAAGGUUGUAUUUACUUCAUAAGAAAAGUCUCCUUCCUCCUCCCGUUGGCGCUGUCGCUGAUCCACCUCACCUUCUAUGGCCUUUGGUUUAUGGAGGUGCGGACGAUCUCGGCCCCCCGUCGGUGGGAGGGAUUCCAUUCUCGUUUUUGUUAGGUUCAGCGUCUUGGUUGGGCUGUGUGGCGAUGGCGAUGUCUCUUAGUAGGAAUAAUGUCUCCAACGUUGUAUCCCCAUUCCAACGAUACGAAUAG